This 832-nucleotide ribosomal RNA is filed under the name uncultured archaeon. Its description in RNAcentral is "bacterial SSU rRNA". It matches the Rfam family "Archaeal small subunit ribosomal RNA", at positions 23 to 857 of the family's 1478-position model. The record is from RNAcentral.
GCUACUGCUAUCGGGGUUCGAUUAAGCCAUGCGAGUUAAAUGUUCUUCGUGAACAUAGCGAACUGCUCAGUAACACGUGGAUAACCUACCCUUAGGACCGGAAUAACCCCGGGAAACUGGGGAUAAUACCGGAUAAGCCAUAGGCGCUGGAAUGCCCUAUGGUUCAAAGCUCCGGCGCCUAAGGAUGGAUCUGCGGUCUAUCAGGUUGUAGUGGGUGUAACGUACCUACUAGCCGACGACGGAUACGGGUUGUGAGAGCAAGAGCCCGGAGAUGGAUUCUGAGACACGAAUCCAGGCCCUACGGGGUGCAGCAGGCGUGAACACUUUACAAUGCGGGAAACCGCGAUAAGGGAACCCCGAGUGCCAGCAUCAAAUGUUGGCUGUCCAGAUGAUUAAAAAUCAUUUGUUAGCAAGGGCCAGGCAAGACCGGUGCCAGCCGCCGCGGUAACACCGGCGGCCCGAGUGGUAGCCGUUUUUAUUGGGUCUAAAGGGUCCGUAGCCGGCCUGAUAAGUCCUUUGGGAAAUCUGGCAGCUUAACUGUCAGGCUUCUAAGGGAUACUGUCAGGCUUGGGACCGGAAGAGGUAAGGGGUACUCCAGGGGUAGGAGUGAAAUCCUGUAAUCCCUGGGGGACCAUCUGUGGCGAAGGCGCCUUACCAGAACGGGUCCGACGGUGAGGGACGAAAGCUAGGGGAGCAAACCGGAUUAGAUACCCGGGUAGUCCUAGCUGUAAACGAUGCUCGCUAGGUGUCAGACACGGUGCGACCGUGUUUGGUGCCGCAGGGAAGCCGUUAAGCGAGCCACCUGGGAAGUACGGUCGCAAGGCUGAAACCU